UACGGCUCAGUAACACGUGGCUAACCUACCCUCGAGACAGGGACAACCCCGGGAAACUGGGGCUAAUCCCAGAUAGAUGAAGACCCCUGGAAUGGGUCCUCGUCCAAAAGGCACUGCGGUUAUGCUCUGUGGUGUCGCUCAAGGAUGGGGCCGCGUCCGAUCAGGCUGUUGGUGAGGUAAUGGCUCACCAAACCUAUAACCGGUACGGGCCGUGGGAGCGGGAGCCCGGAGAUGGGAACUGAGACAAGGUCCCAGGCCCUACGGGGCGCAGCAGUUACGAAAACUUGUCAAUGCACGAAAGUGUGAACGGGCUACCCCGAGUGCCGUCCGCUGAGGAUGGCUUUUCUCUGCUGUAAGAAGGCAGAGGAAUAAGGCGAGGGCAAGUCUGGUGUCAGCCGCCGCGGUAAUACCAGCUCGCCGAGUGGUAGGGAUGAUUAUUGGGCCUAAAGCGUCCGUAGCUGGCCUUUCAAGUCUCUUGUUAAAUCCAACGAUUCAAUCGCUGGACUGCAGGAGAUACUGCAAGGCUAGGAGGCGAGAGAAGCCGACGGUAUUUUCGGGGUAGGGGUAAAAUCCUAUAAUCCCGAGAAGACCACCAGUGGCGAAGGCGGUCGGCUAGCGCGCGCUCGACGGUGAGGGACGAAAGCUGGGGGAGCGAACCGGAUUAGAUACCCGGGUAGUCCCAGCUGUAAACGAUGCUGGCUAGGUGUUGAAGCGGCCACGAGCCGCUUCAGUGCCGCAG
Molecule: ribosomal RNA, 739 nt
Filed under: uncultured crenarchaeote
Lineage: Archaea; Thermoproteati; Thermoproteota
Description: bacterial SSU rRNA
Rfam family: Archaeal small subunit ribosomal RNA
Source: RNAcentral